GUGUCUCUUUCCCCACAGAUGUAACCAGGUUCCUGUGGAGGACACGGCUUUGCUAAGCCUGCCUGGCUUCUGUGUCCUCCUCUGGGCCUGAGUGCAGAGGGUGAGAGUCCACAUCCCCAGAACCAUGGGGACUGAACAGGAUUACUACAGAGCAGCAAAGAAGUGGGGCACCAAAGGAAAGAGUACACAACACCUUGUGAACACAGAAUUCUGGUGGACCCAGAAUAUGUGGGAGUUCAGUGAGACUUAAAGAGGAAAAGACCUACGUGUGAACUAAUGCAAGCAGCUAAUGCCAAGCCUAACAUGCUCCAUAUGUGUUAGAAGUUUUAAGGUGAAGAAAAGAACUGGCCUUUUUCUUCCUUUAGCCCUGUGAGACAGACAUUCUGCACUUAAAUUAUCAGCCACAGGGCAUCCGUGGCUGGGAAUCCAAACAGAUGCUAAUGAAUUUGGAACAACAUUUAAGUGGCUGAACAAAAAUGGAUCCUAAACACCCCCAAAUCAAGUGCAACAAACAAGAAAUAGGCUGACACAUUUCUAUCAGGAAGGCAACCAGAAUGUCAAACUCUUGAAUGAUACUGGGUGAUCUCAGCUCUGUUUUAUCAUCUCAGUAAAUAAAUCUAGAGAUGAUAAACAACCAUAAAUACCUGCAACAAAUGCUCCAUAAAAACCAAA
This 672-nucleotide long non-coding RNA is filed under the name Homo sapiens (human). RNAcentral's name for it is "HSALNT0305353". Lineage: Eukaryota; Metazoa; Chordata; Mammalia; Primates; Hominidae. The record is from RNAcentral.